GUGAACGCUGGCGGUAGGCCUAACACAUGCAAGUCGAACGGCAGCACAGUAAGAGCUUGCUCUUACGGGUGGCGAGUGGCGGACGGGUGAGGAAUACAUCGGAAUCUACUUUUUCGUGGGGGAUAACGUAGGGAAACUUACGCUAAUACCGCAUACUACCUACGGGUGAAAGCAGGGGAUCUUCGGACCUUGCGUGAUUGAAUGAGCCGAUGUCGGAUUAGCUAGUUGGCGGGGUAAAGGCCCACCAAGGCGACGAUCCGUAGCUGGUCUGAGAGGAUGAUCAGCCACACUGGAACUGAGACACGGUCCAGACUCCUACGGGAGGCAGAAGUGGGGACUAUUGGACAAUGGGCGCAAGCCUGAUCCAGCCAUACCGCGUGGGUGAAGAAGGCCUUCGGGUUGUAAAGCCCUUUUGUUGGGAAAGAAAAGCAGCAGGUUAAUACCCCGCUGUUCUGACGGUACCCAAAGAAUAAGCACCGGCUAACUUCGUG
RNAcentral lists this ribosomal RNA (491 nucleotides) under uncultured bacterium. RNAcentral describes it as "partial 16S ribosomal RNA". It matches the Rfam family "Bacterial small subunit ribosomal RNA", at positions 29 to 507 of the family's 1533-position model. The record is from RNAcentral.